RNAcentral lists this ribosomal RNA (806 nucleotides) under uncultured Actinomycetes bacterium. Its description in RNAcentral is "bacterial SSU rRNA". It matches the Rfam family "Bacterial small subunit ribosomal RNA", at positions 60 to 842 of the family's 1533-position model. Lineage: Bacteria; Bacillati; Actinomycetota; Actinomycetes. The record is from RNAcentral.
AGUCGAACGCGAAAGUCCCCUUCGGGGGAUAAGUAGAGUGGCGCACGGGUGAGUAACACGUAGGUAAUCUACCUUCGGGUGGGGAAUAACCCAGGGAAACUUGGGCUAACACCGCAUAAUGCAGCGGCACCACAUGGUGACAGUUGUUAAAGCGGGGGAUUUUAGGACCUCGCGCCUGAAGAGGAGCCUGCGGCAGAUUAGCUAGUUGGUAAGGUAACGGCUUACCAAGGCGACNAUCUGUAACCGGCCUGAGAGGGCGGUCGGUCACACUGACACUGACAUACGGGUCAGACUCCUACGGGAGGCAGCAGUCGGGAAUUUUGGGCAAUGGGCGAAAGCCUGACCCAGCAACGCCGCGUGAAGGAUGAAAUCCCUCGGGAUGUAAACUUCGCAAGAUUGGGAAGAAUUAGUAGGGGUUAAUACCCCCUAUGAUGACGGUACCUUUUGUAAGCUCCGGCUAACUCCGUGCCAGCAGCCGCGGUAAUACGGGGGGAGCAAGCGUUGUUCGGAUUUACUGGGCGUAAAGGGCGCGUAGGCGGCCAGCACAAGUCAGUUGUGAAAUCUCCGGGCUUAACUCGGAAAGGUCAACUGAUACUGUGCGACUAGAGUGCAGAAGGGGCAACUGGAAUUCUCGGUGUAGCGGUGAAAUGCGUAGAUUUCGAGAGGAACACCUGCGGCGAAGGCGGGUUGCUGGGCUGACACUGACGCUGAGGCGCGAAAGCCAGGGGAGCGAACGGGAUUAGAUACCCCGGUAGUCCUGGCCUUAAACGAUGGAUGCUUGGUGUCUGGAGUUAUAUAGUCUCCGG